Molecule: long non-coding RNA, 2763 nt
Organism: Numida meleagris (helmeted guineafowl)
Lineage: Eukaryota; Metazoa; Chordata; Aves; Galliformes; Numididae
Exons: 2
Source: RefSeq, a predicted model, not a curated record
CCCAGUUUUGACCCACAAAUCCUCCUCUUUUAACUCCAAUUCUGCCAUUUCUGACCACAAAAAUGCCCGUGUUUAACCCCAAAUUCCCAGUUUUUAACCAAAAUCCCAACUUUUGACCCCUUAUUGCUGGAUGUUUUUGUACUCUUUUUUUUUUUUUUUUCCUUUAUCCCAGUAUGGGAACUGUCAGGUCCCAGCCUGAGCUGGUGAUUGUGCACCUGGUGAGGGGUGUAGCCAGCCCUGCCAGCACAGGUGGGAGCCAUUCAGCUGUGGGAUUGGAGGGGUGGAGCCUGGCUGCAUCCCUCCCUGGGCUCAUUUAAGGGCUGGCAGCUGUAGGGGCAGCAUCUGUACCUGGAGGCUGCUUCCUUUGGAGUGUGGGGUGAGCCCUGGUCCUUGGAAAGGUGUAUGAAAUUUUUUUCUUUCUUUUUGUGGCUGGGGUCUCUGCCUUUCUUGGGGGAUCUGAAACUGCUUUUAAGUAGCUGUAUCUGCUGUGUGUGUCCCUACGAUGCCCUUCAGUUCUCUAAAGGGGAUGAAGGGGUUAUUUCCCUUUCUCUGACCUGGUGAUGGAGGAGCCAAUGUGCGUUCCUUCCUUUCACUACAGCCUCAUUUCUGGAACGCUUCAAUUAAUCCCCUGGUAAUGCUGGUCAGCUGACCGAGCAUUGCAGCUCUGGGACUGCCUGGAGCUGCUGCCCUGUUCCACAAAAGUGUUCUGCAUUCUCAGGAUCCUGUUUGCACCUUUACUUGUAACCUCGCUUCCUUCUGCUGGAGCCUCUGUUCUGUCUUUCAUGGUUCUCACCUUAAUAUCUUCGCCCUCGGACUCCAAACUCAGUUUCUCUGCUCCCGCAUCGUCCCAGCCCAUUUCAUGACUGCAGUGAACAGUGCCAUGCAUUAAUUCCACCCAUGCAGAGAGUUGUUUAAGGCCGUUCUGUGCCUCAUGAUCACGUACUAAAUUAUGUUCUGUGUCUCUCUUGAUCUCAUCGCAUCUCACAACUCAAUGGGGUUGAAGGGUUCUGUGAUUGCUGGGGCUCCUCUAAUUAGUGGCUUAAGCACUGGGAAAUCUACCAGAGCAGGUAAUGGAACAUCACGAGCCCCUCGUUUGUGCAUUGCUUGUAUGCAGGCAGCUUUAGCGAUGGCUGUGGGAGGCUCAUGGAAUGGGGGUUGCAAGGGGCUCACCUCGCUCCAUGGUGUCUGUUCUCCCAGCCCCAUAAGCUACAUGGCUGGUGAUUGAGUGAGGUGCAUCAGCUGGGUCCUAAGCUGAAGAAAACUCCUGGACUCCAGUAGCCCUUGGCUUCAUCCUCACUCGGCAUAAUACAGUCGUCAUCACUCGAGCAUGCUGACCACAGAUGUUCUGUUCCUGUUUUGCCUGGUUCUCUCCCAUAUUUCCCUUACAAAGUUGUCAAUGCUACUCGAUCCCAGCGCAUAGCCAUCAGAGCACAUUGUGGCUGACCAUCCCAGGGUCCUAUGGUUCUUCCUGUUUUAACAGCAGAUCUGGCUUUAUUUUUACAGAAAAGAAGGGAUUGUCCUCUUCUGGACCACUGUAAUCAGGAUCACCCCAGGUAUCUCCAUCCCAGUUGUCAGGAGAUGCUAUUAGUUCUCUAAUCUGUACGGUACCUGAACACCCACCCCUCUUUCUCCCAUCCCUAACCCCCAUUAAAUAGCUAUCCCUGCAGCUGUGGGACCCGAUGGUGUGACAAAGCGAGGCCUCUGGUCUGCCGAACACUGGGACCUGUGAGAGAGAGAGAGAGAGAGGCCCUGUGACCAUUGUGGAUCGUACCGACAGCUGCGCUCGUCCCAGGCGUCUCGCUGUGGUGCUGCUGGUAAGAGGAAUGUGCACAAGGUGCAGCCCCUGCAUGUGCGGGGCAGAGCCUUCAUUAUUGUAUUGUUUCAACGGGUGGCAGCAAGGAACUGUGGUGCUCCUGGGCACUGCCAGAACUGCAUGGAGAUCUGUGGCUCUUCAUGAAGUCAGCAAGAAAUGGAAAGCUGGAUUUCCUGGGAUGCCCCAGAACCCAAAUUGUCUGUCUGGUAACUGGUUGCCCAUACAGGUAAGGACAAUGUACGCAUACCAGUGUUUACCCAUGACAUAGCGUGGCUCAACAUAGUGCUCCCAGAGCUUGUCAGGGCGCUUUAGGAUACCCUGAUGGCUGCCUGCGAUUUUCCUCCUGAGUUCUCUUUGCCUCUGCCUCUUCCUUGGCUUUCCCUUGGUGGUUGUCCUUGCCCUUGCUUUGCCUUGAUUUUUUUUCUGUGGUGCUUCUGUUGCCUUUGCCUUUCUUAGGUGUUUUCAUUGCCUUUGCCCUCGCCCAGGCCUUCCGUGGCGCGGUCCCCUUGGUCUUUGCCCUCGCCUGGGACUUCCGUGCGGUGUUCUCCUUGCCCUUACUCUUGCCCUCAUUUUGGCUUUCCCUUCGGUGUUCUAAUUGCCUUUGCCCUUGUCUUUACCUUCCCUAGCCGUUCUCUUUGCCUUUGCCUUGGUGUUCCCUUGGGUUUUCUGCUUGCCUUUUCUUCACUGGGAUUGGCUGAGAGGCAGAGUUCAUGUUAGACUUGACCUCAACCCUAACUUUAGUGAGAGCUCUGGAGAUAAUUAUAUUAACCCACAAUGUAACUUUAAACCUAACCCUUAACUGGAUGUUAAAAAAUCUCUAAUGCUCAGUGUAGCAAUAAAAACAAUGCCUGAAGUUUUCUAGGUAACCUUAAGCCUAAUCGUAAUGUUAAAAAAAAAAAAAAAAACAACAACAACAAAAAAAACUGUUCAACUAACCGUAACCUUAAUCC